This 76-nucleotide transfer RNA is filed under the name Cotesia glomerata. RNAcentral describes it as "tRNA-Thr". Lineage: Eukaryota; Metazoa; Arthropoda; Insecta; Hymenoptera; Braconidae. The record is from RNAcentral.
GGCCCAUUAGCUUAAUUGGUAGAGCUCCUGACAUGUUAUCAAGGUAAUCUAGGUUCGAUUCCUGGCUUGGUAACCG